Molecule: ribosomal RNA, 449 nt
Filed under: uncultured Gemmatimonadota bacterium
Lineage: Bacteria; Pseudomonadati; Gemmatimonadota
Description: bacterial SSU rRNA
Rfam family: Bacterial small subunit ribosomal RNA
Source: RNAcentral
CGGGGGGCAGCAGUGGGGAAUAUUGCGCAAUGGACGAAAGUCUGACGCAGCGACGCCGCGUGUGGGAUGAAGCUCUUCGGGGUGUAAACCACUGUUGCCAGGGAAGAAACUCUUGAUUCGUCAAGACUGACGGUACCUGGUGAGGAAGCACCGGCUAACUCUGUGCCAGCAGCCGCGGUAAUACAGAGGGUGCGAGCGUUGUCCGGAAUCACUGGGCGUAAAGGGCGCGUAGGUGGCGGGAUAAGUGUGUGGUGAAAGCUCGGGGCUCAACCCCGAGUCUGCCAUGCAGACUGUCUUGCUCGAGCGUAGUAGAGGCAGGUGGAAUUCCGGGUGUAGCGGUGGAAUGCGUAGAGAUCCGGAAGAACAUCGGUGGCGAAGGCGGCCUGCUGGGCUACUGCUGACACUGAGGCGCGACAGCGUGGGGAGCAAACAGGAUUAGAUACCCGAGU